This 446-nucleotide ribosomal RNA is filed under the name uncultured bacterium. RNAcentral's name for it is "SSU rRNA". It matches the Rfam family "Bacterial small subunit ribosomal RNA", at positions 26 to 518 of the family's 1533-position model. The record is from RNAcentral.
AGAGCGAACGCUGGCGGCAGGCCUAAUACAUGCAAGUCGAACGAGCCCUUCGGGGUUAGUGGCGGACGGGUGAGUAACACGUGGGAACGUGCCUUUUGGUUCGGAACAACUCAGGGAAACUUGAGCUAAUACCGAAUGUGCCCUUCGGGGGGAAAGAUUUAUCGCCAUUAGAGCGGCCCGCGUCUGAUUAGCUAGUUGGUGAGGUAAAGGCCCACCAAGGCUACGAUCAGUAGCUGGUCUGAGAGGAUGAUCAGCCACACUGGGACUGAGACACGGCCCAGACUCCUACGGGAGGCAGCAGUAGGGAAUCUUGCGCAAUGGGCGAAAGCCUGACGCAGCCAUGCCGCGUGAAUGAUGAAGGUCUUAGGAUUGUAAAAUUCUUUCAGCGGGACGAUAAUGACGGUACCGCAGAAGAACGCCCCGGCUAACUUCGUGCCAGCAGCCGC